GUCUUCGUGGUGUAAUGGUUAACACACUCGGUGCGUAUUCGAGAGGUCCGGGUUCGAGUCCCGGACGGGGCA
Molecule: transfer RNA, 72 nt
Filed under: Stegodyphus mimosarum
Lineage: Eukaryota; Metazoa; Arthropoda; Arachnida; Araneae; Eresidae
Rfam family: tRNA
About the family: Transfer RNA (tRNA) molecules are approximately 80 nucleotides in length. Their secondary structure includes four short double-helical elements and three loops (D, anti-codon, and T loops). Further hydrogen bonds mediate the characteristic L-shaped molecular structure. tRNAs have two regions of fundamental functional importance: the anti-codon, which is responsible for specific mRNA codon recognition, and the 3' end, to which the tRNAs corresponding amino acid is attached (by aminoacyl-tRNA synthetases). tRNAs cope with the degeneracy of the genetic code in two manners: having more than one tRNA (with a specific anti-codon) for a particular amino acid; and 'wobble' base-pairing, i.e. permitting non-standard base-pairing at the 3rd anti-codon position.
Source: Rfam by way of RNAcentral